CCUCAACAGUAUUUUUGUAAGCUCUUCUCUCUGCCUAAGUCCUCCAGACCCCUGUCUGAAGAUAUUACAGUCUCAUAUUGUAUUAUAGUCUGCGCAGAUUAUAAUCUCCAAACUCAAGUCACUUUUAAAGUGUGAAGCAUUUUAUUUGCGAUCAUAUUCAGCCACACUGCUCUGUCUGCAAGGCUGUUUAAUACUAAUGGCACAUUAACAAACCACCGAGGCCAGAUCAGAAUUCUCUCCUGGUAAGUGUAUUAUCAUAUUAUUUCAUUCAGUCAAAACUACAUCAUGAUAUUUUGUGGUGCAAGAAGAUUAAACUUGAAUCAAAUAUAAAAUAAAAUGCAUUUUCUGACUAGAAA
This is a long non-coding RNA of Anguilla anguilla (European eel), 356 nucleotides long. RefSeq lists it as uncharacterized. The record is from RefSeq and is a predicted model, not a curated record. Lineage: Eukaryota; Metazoa; Chordata; Actinopteri; Anguilliformes; Anguillidae. The transcript has 3 exons.